RNAcentral lists this long non-coding RNA (719 nucleotides) under Astyanax mexicanus (Mexican tetra). RNAcentral describes it as "lncRNA (ENSAMXG00005017739.1)". The record is from RNAcentral. Lineage: Eukaryota; Metazoa; Chordata; Actinopteri; Characiformes; Acestrorhamphidae.
CCUUAUCUGGUCUAAUUUAAAUAGAUAAAGUGAAAAGCUACUCAAAACUGUGCAGGAGCUCCUCAGAUAAAGUGCUGUUCUCAUUUUUCUCCAGAUAGCCGGUGGCGGCCGUGGCAUUCAGCUCGGCAUAUCUCAGGAUUCCAGAGUUUUAAAAACGUGAGGCAUUAUCCCGCAAAGCUCUGAAAAGCUCCAUCCACACGUCUGCUGGCGUCGUUUCUGCUUACUCACACAGCGGAGCAGCGAUACACUGACUACAGGGACAACAGACUCCAGUUCUUCUCUUCAGGCCUCUAGAGCACAACCAGGGUCUCCUGCACCACCUUCAGCUGUCUCAGAAUCCCCCGAGAUGUGUGCACAAGCUGGCGUGGUCCUAUAUCGAGCAGGCUCGGCUCUUUGUUCUAAUAUGUCACAGUAUUUCCUGGAAUGUCCUCACUGAACUCGGCUGCGUGUAGAGGGUGUGAUAUAUUCAGCUUGGGGGAACUGCAUCAGGAUGACGACAGGAUGGCGAUGAAGUGUUAAAGUGAUAGAAACCUUUCACCAGGUUCCUCCCUCGGGCCUAAAGUCAUCAAACCCAUCUCUGCACUGCCUUCCUAGGUGAACAUGGGCGCACUAAACUGAGUAGAGUAAUAGUUUACUAUCAAAUUUACAUACUUUGCCCUCAUACCCAUAUUCUUUUUUUUUUUAAUUCUAUAAUAAAAAAAUGCUAUUACAGUUUUACA